This 434-nucleotide ribosomal RNA is filed under the name uncultured Clostridium sp. RNAcentral's name for it is "partial 16S ribosomal RNA". It matches the Rfam family "Bacterial small subunit ribosomal RNA", at positions 341 to 792 of the family's 1533-position model. Lineage: Bacteria; Bacillati; Bacillota; Clostridia; Eubacteriales; Clostridiaceae. The record is from RNAcentral.
ACGGGAGGCAGCAGUGGGGAAUAUUGGGCAAUGGGCGCAAGCCUGACCCAGCGACGCCGCGUGAGGGAAGAAGGUCUUCGGAUUGUAAACCUUUGUUGACAGGGACGAUAAUGACGGUACCUGUCGAGGAAGCCACGGCUAACUACGUGCCAGCAGCCGCGGUAAUACGUAGGUGGCGAGCGUUAUCCGGAUUUACUGGGUGUAAAGGGCGUGUAGGCGGAGCUGCAAGUCAGAUGUGAAAUCCCGGGGCUCAACCCCGGAACUGCAUUUGAAACUGUAGCCCUUGAGUAUCGGAGAGGCAAGCGGAAUUCCUAGUGUAGCGGUGAAAUGCGUAGAUAUUAGGAGGAACACCAGUGGCGAAGGCGGCUUGCUGGACGACAACUGACGCUGAGGCGCGAAAGCGUGGGGAGCAAACAGGAUUAGAUACCCUGGUA